RNAcentral lists this transfer RNA (72 nucleotides) under Diaphorina citri (Asian citrus psyllid). It matches the Rfam family "tRNA". From Rfam's summary of the family: Transfer RNA (tRNA) molecules are approximately 80 nucleotides in length. Their secondary structure includes four short double-helical elements and three loops (D, anti-codon, and T loops). Further hydrogen bonds mediate the characteristic L-shaped molecular structure. tRNAs have two regions of fundamental functional importance: the anti-codon, which is responsible for specific mRNA codon recognition, and the 3' end, to which the tRNAs corresponding amino acid is attached (by aminoacyl-tRNA synthetases). tRNAs cope with the degeneracy of the genetic code in two manners: having more than one tRNA (with a specific anti-codon) for a particular amino acid; and 'wobble' base-pairing, i.e. permitting non-standard base-pairing at the 3rd anti-codon position. Lineage: Eukaryota; Metazoa; Arthropoda; Insecta; Hemiptera; Psyllidae. The record is from Rfam by way of RNAcentral.
CAACCCAUGGCGUAGUGGUCACUGCACUCGCCUUGCACGCGGGAGACCCGGGUUCGAUUCCCGGCGGGGUCA